AGCGACCUACUUCACAGGAUCAGUGCAUUAGGUUGUUAACUGCGUUACAGUCUGGAACUGUGCGAAUGUACCAAACCCCGAUGACGAGGAAAAGCGACCCCUUCUGAGCGCGAAGCCGACGCAAGCCGUUAGGCAACCGUCAUUGAUGAACGUUCCUCCGCUCCUUGAACACGCGUUGUUCGGAGGGUGAGGAGGAAGGGGUCGCAUUCCGAGAGGC
Hypsibius dujardini is the source of this 217-nucleotide small nucleolar RNA. It matches the Rfam family "Small nucleolar RNA U3". Rfam says of the family: Small nucleolar RNAs (snoRNAs) are involved in the processing and modification of rRNA in the nucleolus. There are two main classes of snoRNAs: the box C/D class, and the box H/ACA class. U3 snoRNA is a member of the box C/D class. The record is from Rfam. Lineage: Eukaryota; Metazoa; Tardigrada; Eutardigrada; Parachela; Hypsibiidae.